UGGGGAAUCUUGGACAAUGGGGGCAACCCUGAUCCAGCGAUGCCGCGUGAGUGAAGAAGGCCUUCGGGUCGUAAAGCUCUUUAGGUUGGGAAGAAGGAUGGUUGAGGAAAUGCUUCCAUCUUGACGGUACCAGCAGAAUAAGCACCGGCAAACUCUGUGCCAGCAGCCGCGGUAAUACAGAGGGUGCGAGCGUUAAUCGGAAUUACUGGGCGUAAAGGGUGCGUAGGCGGUUUAGUGUGUGUGAUGUGAAAGCCCCGGGCUUAACCUGGGAAGUGCAUCGCAAACUAUUAGACUUGAGUAGAUGAGAGGGUGGCGGAAUUUCCGGUGUAGCGGUGAAAUGCGUAGAGAUCGGAAGGAACGUCAAUGGCGAAGGCAGCCACCUGGCAUCAUACUGACGCUGAGGCACGAAAGCGUGGGGAGCGAACAGG
This 428-nucleotide ribosomal RNA is filed under the name uncultured bacterium. RNAcentral describes it as "bacterial SSU rRNA". It matches the Rfam family "Bacterial small subunit ribosomal RNA", at positions 355 to 776 of the family's 1533-position model. The record is from RNAcentral.